GUCUCCUACGGGAGGCGCAGCAGUAGGGAAUCUUCCACAAUGGGCGAAAGCCUGAUGGAGCAACGCCGCGUGGGUGAAGAAGGUCUUCGGAUCAUAAAACCCUGUUGUUAGAGAAGAAAGUGCGUGAGAGUAACUGUUCGCGUUUCGACGGUAUCUAACCAGAAAGCCACGGCUAACUACGUGCCAGCAGCCGCGGUAAUACGUAGGUGGCAAGCGUUAUCCGGAUUUAUUGGGCGUAAAGGGAACGCAGGCGGUCUUUUAAGUCCGAUGUGAAAGCCUUCGGCUUAACCGGAGUAGUGCAUUGG
Molecule: ribosomal RNA, 305 nt
Filed under: uncultured bacterium
Lineage: Bacteria
Description: bacterial SSU rRNA
Rfam family: Bacterial small subunit ribosomal RNA
Source: RNAcentral